UACGUAGGGGGCAAGCGUUGUCCGGAUUUAUUGGGCGUAAAGAGCGUGUAGGCGGCCAGGUAGGUCUGCUGUGAAAACUCGAGGCUCAACCUCGAGACGUCGGCGGAAACUAUCUGGCUAGAGUCCGGAAGAGGAGAGUGGAAUUCCUGGUGUAGCGGUGAAAUGCGUAGAGAUCGGGAGGAAUACCAGUGGCGAAGGCGGCCUUCUGGACUGACACUGACGCUGAGGCGCGAAAGCCAGGGGAGCAAACGGG
This 253-nucleotide ribosomal RNA is filed under the name uncultured bacterium. RNAcentral's name for it is "partial 16S ribosomal RNA". It matches the Rfam family "Bacterial small subunit ribosomal RNA", at positions 524 to 776 of the family's 1533-position model. The record is from RNAcentral.